Non-coding RNA from Microcebus murinus (gray mouse lemur), 3544 nucleotides. Lineage: Eukaryota; Metazoa; Chordata; Mammalia; Primates; Cheirogaleidae. The record is from RefSeq and is a predicted model, not a curated record.
CUGCAGGGUCGAUUCUUGCCCAUCAUUCCCGCCACUCCCAUCUCCCGCCGCCAAGGCGGUGGGUCCUGCAGCCUCCACUCUUCUGGUGUGAGGUGGGGCGGGAGGGCGGAGAGCAGACGCGGAAGCUCCCGCCUCGCCAGCCACAGGCAGAACCCAGGGUUCAGGCUGGUUCCUCUCUCGGAGCUGGGCGGCCUGGAGCUUCAUCUCAACUCUGGGGCUGCAGCUCUAUUCCUAUUCUCUGGUUUGCUGACCCUGAGGAGCUGCAGCAGUCCAACAGGACAGCCUGGGGACACCUCGGGGCACAGCCCCGGGUCCUCCUCCUGGUCACCUCCACAUGCCUAUCACCUGGGCGCAGCCUUGGUCUUCCCGCUGUAGCUGUGGGACGUGGAGGCGGCGCCUGGGAGGUAAGACACAGUACCCAGCAUCUGCUCGGCAGCCCCGGGGCCCCUGACCCCCUCUGUCGCUAUUAAGGGCGCUAGGUCCCGAGGCUCCAAGAUGAUCACGAUUGCAUCAGCCAGACAGAAGCAGAGCUGGGAGCUGCGCGGCGAGCGAGCAAGCAAGACAAAGACGCCCGCGCCAUCUGUUUAUGCAAAGCGCUCUCCGCCCGGACCCCGGCAUCUCCCCGCCUGGCCCGGCUCCGGGCACAGGGUCAUAAGCCCGCUCCCACCCGGCGCUCCCGCCGCGCCUUGGCUUUUCCUCUCCCCAGCACCCAGAGGGGCCGCGGGGCGGAACAGGGAGGGGGCGGGGGUGUUGAUGUGAUUGGAGCGGACGCUGCUGUUUCUUCAAUAAUGGAUGGAGAUGAUGCGGACGGCGGAGCCGAGCCGGCCCGGAGAGGAGAGAGGAAUAAAAAUGGGGAAAGGAAGGAGUGGGGGCGGGAGACUCACCCAGGCGCGCGGACGCGUCACACUGUCAUUCGGAUACACGCCACCGCGCGGCUCACACCCAGGCACACGCCCACGCACUGUCACUGAGACACACACACCUGCAGGCAGAGAGCAACACACACUCACCAGUGGAUCUUUCUUAUUUUCACACAUACACAGUCCUGCAAGCAGAGACACACGCAACGCCCCCACGUGGGGCAAACCCAGGCAAGCAGAGUGCACAGACACGUAGACACACCAAAGCACAUGUGCACACCCAGAAACCUAGACACCCUGGGGCUUAGACAGACAGAAAUUAGAGAUGGGGGCUAGGGAGUAGGGAAUAGACAAAGCCCACAUAGACCCACUCAGAGGCACACACCUGGGGCUUUGAUAGACAUACCUCACCCAGGGCACACACAGACACACACAUACCACACGCCAGGGGUGCAGACCCCCAUGAUUGCCAGGAGCACAGAGAGCCCUGACCACGAACACCCACUCAGAGGCUGACACGUUUGCAGCAACUGCCGUCUGUGCCCUGCGGGGUGGAGUGUGGCGGAGAGGUCGUCAGGGUCUCCGAAGCAGGCCUUGUUAGCCUAGCAGUAUAAUGAGGUUGCAGUGACAGGAGACGCCUGGGGCUGUGGACUCAGAGACCUGUGGCCCCCAUUGACUGCCUACAAGCUUCCUUCCCUGCCUCAAGGGUAGGUGCAGCCACCUUGCGCCCCCCCUGAGCAGUAUACCCAGCAGUCCCCAACAGCCCCAACUCUUAGCAGUUUGGGAGAGGGGGCUGCACUAGGAGAAUCCUUGGUCCCCUACAUGGCUGUUGGUGGAGGUUUAAGAGAGGGUCACUCUGUACCCUAUCUUGUCCCCCAUACUGCCAAUCUUCUGACUUUAAGGUCCCCCUUUUAUGCCAAGAGUGGGGUGGGCAGUGAAGCGGAUUGAGGUGGUGCAGGUGUGUAUUUUACCCUAGUAUAUCAGCCCUUCCUCCAUCUGUUUUCAAUUCAGCGUGCUCCUUGGCCUAGACUUAUGACCUUUGCAGCAUGUGGCAGUAUCAUCCAUCACCCAGGCAGUGGCUUGUGGGAUGGAGGGUACUGGGGGCUCACACCCCGUGGCUACCACGCCUUCUCCCUGGACCUACUCUCCGGCCAGUGAGCUAGGGCUCAACAGUCCUAGCGAGUACUGAGAGGAGGCCCUGACCAUGGGGCUCAAUUGCAACACUGGGCUUGUGUCCCCACUCCUGCUACCCCAAUAUCCCUCCUUCGAGCUCAGCACAGCCUGUCUCCCCCCUCCUCCCGCCUCCCUUCUCUCGGGCCCUUUGCUUAAUUUCCUAUUAACUGCUGAUAAAUCCAAUUAAACCGCCACUCUAAUUAGGGACAGCUGCCGGCUCGGCGAGGCUAGGGAGGGGGGCGCCCCCCUAGCGUAGGGGGAGAACAGCCUUUCUCCCUGCUCCUCAGCACCAGCACCCCACACACCAACAUCGCCGACCAAUGAGCCAGUAAAUUGGUUUUGCUUCAGCAUUGUGGGGGGCUCUCUCGAGAAUCUGGGGGGCUCCGAUGUUUUGAGUUCCUCAGACCUUGAUGAACAGAGGCGACUCGAGCACUCGUAGUCCCUCCUCUCACGUAUUUGUGGUAGGCAGAUCCCAAGGAAGGAUGGGGGCAAAAGGCUUGAUGUGUAUGGUUGGCGUGUGUGUGUGUGUGUGUGUGUGUGUGUGUGUGUGUGCGUGCGCGCGGGCGCAGGGGCUUGUGAUCUACUCAUAUUCCAGCCGAGUUGAGAUUCAAGGGGGUCUUCCUUUAUGACUCCGCAGCUGCUCCUCAGGCAUCCGGGACAGUCAAGGGCAAAGGGAACAGAGAACCGAACCCGGUUCCGCAGUCUUCUGGUGUGUGCUUCCCUACCCCCAUCACACCUCAGCCUUCUGGAAGGAGGGGGGGUGCGCCCGUCCUGGGCCCUCCUCUUCCCCAGCCCAGCUGAGCCUCUGCCCUCCCCCCGCCAGCAGCAGAUGGUGCCUGGACUCCCGCUGCCAACCUUGCUAGGCGGUGCCAACCUCAGUCCUGGCAGACAACAGGCAGACAAGAAGAGGAGCUCCUGGCUAGCCAGGCCGACCCUCCCCCACCCUCCCCAAACUCAAGACCCUCUGCCUGAUCCACUCAAGCGACUACCCCAGCCUGCCUCUUACUGGUCCACUCCCAGGUCCCCAAACUCCUCGUCUCCUUCUGCUCCCUUCCCCACACCUUCCCGGUCCUCACCACCUGCCGCCCUGACCAGGCCGACGUAUUUGCAUAUUUACAUAUGCAAAUGACAUCAUUUGCAUACGGUGCUCCACAGGGGGGCGUCUCCGCGAGAGCCCGUUAGCUGUCUGCCCAGCGUCCUCAUUCCGUACCUGUCGGAAGGGCUGGGGCAGGAGCAGCACGGGAGGGGGUAGCCCCCCCCCCGCCCCCGGCCUAGCUAGCUCAGUUCCCAGAGGACUUGAGGAAGUGUUGCCAUGGUGACGGCACGCACCCCACCCCCUCCCAGGCCUAGGGUCUCGGGCUUGGUGUCUCCGGUUCUCUCCCCUUACCCACCCUCCACUCCCUCCCUAGCCCUCGCUCUCCAACCGAGAUCUUGCAUCGCCCCCUGGCGGCUUACUCGGCGCUGAGCCAGUUCACGGUUGUAAUCCCAGCACUUUGAGAGGUCGACGUGGA